AAACCUUUAAAAUCAGAGUUGAAUGCAACAAAUUGGUCAUGUGGCAGAGAGAGAAGACAGACAAGAAAAGAAGAGAACAAAGUCAUGAGAAAGUAACCCUAGGUAAACACAUGAUAAUUUUCUGUGGAUUCUCAGAAGCCAAACACAACUCAUCAUUAGAUGCAAUUUGACUUGAUAAAUCCAGUAUUUACAUCUCAGAAUUCUGUGAACUGUGGGAUUCAACAUCGGUUUUAUCAACUGCAUCUACUGGGCUUCAACUGAGAGAGACUUUGCCCCACACUUAGACCAGUGCUACAAAGAGAUGACCUAUCUCUCUGGGAUGGAUUAAUGGAAAGUAUUCAGUUCACUGGAACUCCAUCAACUCCUCAGUUGUGCAAAGGAACUUAGGAUGUCACUUCUAGGCUGAGAGGAAAUUAUCUAUGCCUUGAUUGCGUUGCAAAGUAAGGGGUUGGGGAGGGGCAAUCGAGGAGGGAGGGGCAAGUGGGGUGGAGAGAGCAAUCCAUUUUAAAGAAUAAGGAUACUUCUUUAUAAAAAUUGACAACAAUAAAUAACGUUGUGGCAAAAA
Molecule: long non-coding RNA, 565 nt
Organism: Homo sapiens (human)
Lineage: Eukaryota; Metazoa; Chordata; Mammalia; Primates; Hominidae
Exons: 2
Source: RefSeq, a predicted model, not a curated record